RNAcentral lists this ribosomal RNA (274 nucleotides) under unidentified marine bacterioplankton. RNAcentral describes it as "partial 16S ribosomal RNA". It matches the Rfam family "Bacterial small subunit ribosomal RNA", at positions 64 to 339 of the family's 1533-position model. The record is from RNAcentral.
UAACAGGAAUUAGCUUGCUAAUUUGCUGACGAGUGGCGCACGGGUGCGUAACGCGUAUACAAUCUACCUUUUGCUGAGGGAUAGCCCAGAGAAAUUUGGAUUAAUACCUCAUAGUAUUAUUGAGUGGCAUCAUUUAAUAAUUAAAGGUUACGGCAAAAGAUGAGUAUGCGUCCCAUUAGCUAGUUGGCGAGGUAACGGCUCACCCAGGCAACGAUGGGUAGGGGUCCUGAGAGGGAGAUCCCCCACACUGGUACUGAGACACGGACCAGACUCC